CAUGGGAACCUACCCACCAGUGAGGGAUACCGGCGCGAAAGCGCCGACAAGCCCGCAUACGGUUUCUCUUUGGAGGAAGCAAAGCUCUUUCGGGGGCGCUGGUGGCUGGGCCUGUGGCCGAUUAGCUAGUUGGUGUGGUAAGAGCGCACCAAGGCGACGAUCGGUAGCUGGUCUGAGAGGACGAGCAGCCACACUGGGAUUGAGAACGGCCCAGACUCCUACGGGGGGCAGCAGUGAGGAAUUUUCCGCAAUGGAGGCAACUCUGACGGAGCAACGCCGCGUGCAGGAGGAAGCGCUUCGGCGUGUAAACUGCUUUUCUGUGGGACGAGCAAGGACGGUACCGCAGGAAGCAGCCCCGGCUAACUACGUGCCAGCAGCCGCGGUAAGACGUAGGGGGCGAGCGUUGUCCGGAGUUACUGGGCGUAAAGGGCCCGCAGGCGGGAGCGCGCGUUUGCUGUGACAGCUCGCGGCUAAACUGCGAGAGGGUAGCAAAGACGGCGCUUCUUGAGGGCCAGAGAGGGACCUGGAAGUCCGGGUGGAGCGGUGAAAUGCGUAGAGAUCCGGAGGAACACCGAAAGCGAAGGCAGGGUCCUGGCUGGCCCCUGACGCUCGUGGGCGAAAGCUAGGGGAGCGAACGGGAUUAGAUACCCCGGUAGUCCUAGCUGUAAACGAUGACCACUAGGCGUGCGGCGUAUCGACCCGCUGCGUGCCGUAGGCAACCCGCUAAGUGGUCCGCCUGGGGAGUACGGUCGCAAGAUUAAAACUCAAAGGAAUUGACGGGGACCCGCACAAGCAGCGGAGCGUGUGGUUUAAU
Molecule: ribosomal RNA, 814 nt
Filed under: uncultured bacterium
Lineage: Bacteria
Description: bacterial SSU rRNA
Rfam family: Bacterial small subunit ribosomal RNA
Source: RNAcentral